GACGAACGCUGGCGGCGUGCUUAACACAUGCGAGUCGAACGAAGAGCGAUGGAAGCUUGCUUCUAUCAAUCUUAGUGGCGAACGGGUGAGUAACGCGUAAUCAACCUGCCCUUCAGAGGGGGACAACAGUUGGAAACGACUGCUAAUACCGCAUACGAUCUAAUCUCGGCAUCGAGGAUAGAUGAAAGGUGGCCUCUACAUGUAAGCUAUCACUGCAGGAGGGGAUUGCGUCUGAUUAGCUAGUUGGAGGGGUAACGGCCCACCAAGGCGAUGAUCAGUAGCCGGUCGGAGAGGAUGAACGGCCACAUUGAGACUGAGACACGGCCCAGACUCCUACGGGAGGCAGCAGGAGGGAAUCUUCCGCAAGGGACGAAAGUCUGACGGAGCAACGCCGCGUGAGUGAGGACGGCCGUCGGGUUGUAAAGCUCUGUUAAUCGGGACGAAAGGCCUUCUUGCGAAUAGUGAGAAGGAUUGACGGUACCGGAAUAGAAAGCCACGGCUAACUACGUG
This 510-nucleotide ribosomal RNA is filed under the name uncultured bacterium. Its description in RNAcentral is "partial 16S ribosomal RNA". It matches the Rfam family "Bacterial small subunit ribosomal RNA", at positions 28 to 507 of the family's 1533-position model. The record is from RNAcentral.